UGGGGAAUAUUGGGCAAUGGGCGCAAGCCUGACCCAGCCACGCCGCGUGAGUGAUGAAGGCCUUCGGGUCGUAAAGCUCUGUGGGGAAGGACGAAAAAACAUUGGCUAAUAUCCAAUGGCUUGACGGUACUUCCUUAGCAAGCACCGGCUAACUCUGUGCCAGCAGCCGCGGUAAUACAGAGGGUGCAAACGUUGCUCGGAAUCAUUGGGCGUAAAGCGCACGUAGGCGGCCUGAUAAGUCGGUAGUGAAAGCCCUCGGCUUAACCGAGGAAGUGCUAUCGAAACUGCCAGGCUUGAGUACCGGAGAGGAUCGCGGAAUUCCCGGUGUAGAGGUGAAAUUCGUAGAUAUUAGGAAGAACACCAGUGGCGAAGGCGGCCAACUGGCUCGAUACUGACGCUGAGGUGCGAAAGCGUGGGGAGCAAACAGGAUUAGAUACCCCGGUAGUCCCUGAGCGGGCUGGCAAGGCGCAU
Molecule: ribosomal RNA, 471 nt
Filed under: uncultured bacterium
Lineage: Bacteria
Description: bacterial SSU rRNA
Rfam family: Bacterial small subunit ribosomal RNA
Source: RNAcentral